CUGUGCAAGAAACACUUGGAUGAACUUCAAAAAACGAAAGUUGGGCUAUUUUAUGGCAAUUGUUGUCACGAAUCCCGUUUCCUGAGUCUGUUUUUUGCCUGUGUUCUGUCCUGGAGUGUUUUUUCCGGCAUCCUGGAACGCACCCUGUCUGGUUGCCGGGCAAUGUAGCCAGUUGGGAGUUCUGAUUACCCGCACCUGUAUCCCAUCAGCUAUCUGCACACCUGGUCCUGAUCAUCAUAUCUCCUCUUCAUAAGCCCGGACCUGACAUCCAUUCCCUGCCGGAUCGUUAGCCAUGAACAUUACUCACCCGGAUCAUUUACCCCAUUCCCGCCUGGUCAUCGGAGGAUUCCGCUACCCCAUUGGAUCCACCUAUUUACUCCCAUCAACUCACCACCGCUGCCCGCUACGCCACCUGGAUAUAUCUACCCAUUCACAUUCACUUGUAAAUAAAUACUCACCUUCUUCCUAC
Molecule: long non-coding RNA, 469 nt
Organism: Oncorhynchus nerka (sockeye salmon)
Lineage: Eukaryota; Metazoa; Chordata; Actinopteri; Salmoniformes; Salmonidae
Exons: 2
Source: RefSeq, a predicted model, not a curated record